This 788-nucleotide unclassified non-coding RNA is filed under the name Dermacentor andersoni. Its description in RNAcentral is "protein krueppel-like". The record is from RNAcentral. Lineage: Eukaryota; Metazoa; Arthropoda; Arachnida; Ixodida; Ixodidae.
AUUGUGUGCUUGCCCAAUGUUAAAUGGUGAUCUGUUCUGACCACCAUUCCUUAGAUGUACAUUUGCUGACUGCUGACAAUAUGUGGUUCUGUGUGAAAGGUGCCUUCAGUAUUGCUGUUUGGUGCAUGAUAUAAUGUGAUCCUUUCAUGUUAGGCUCACAUUUUUAUUGCAUCUUGGUUCUAGUAUAUAUAGACCUUCCUUUUUUUUUUAUUGAUAAUGUUACGUUUGAGCCCCUUUGUUGUCUUCUUGCAAACAAGCAUUCUCUUCACAUUCUGUCACUUUAUGUUUGUUUACAAUUCAGAAAAGCUUUUCUUAGUGAAAAUAUGUGUGAACUUCAUAAACUAUGUCAUUUAUCAAUUACAUGUGAAAUUAUUGAGCAAAUCAAUGUGAUUGACCAGCCAUGUUGUGUUUGAUAUGAUCUGGAAUCACUAAAAUUUAUUGAAUUAGGAAAAAGGUCAUCAGUAGCAUUAGUAUUAUGUUGCUUCAUUUCUUCAUAUCAUAAUUACAGUUUUAUUUUUAAAGGAACACCGAUAACCUGUGACGUUUUACUUGUGCAGCAUCAAGGCAUUCAAGCGAUCCAGCAACUGCCAAGGGUGAGAAUUCACAGCAGAAAUGCCUACACCGGUGUAACUUCUGUGACUAUAAUACUGACAAACUCUUUAAUCCUAAAGUACAAAUCAGGGUCCUACAGUAUCGGGGCGUUCGAGCCGUCCAGCAGCUACUGAGAACGAGAAGUCUCAGCAGGGACGCCUUCACCGUUGUCAUCUCUGUGACUAUGUGACUGAAAA